RNAcentral lists this ribosomal RNA (440 nucleotides) under uncultured bacterium. RNAcentral's name for it is "partial 16S ribosomal RNA". It matches the Rfam family "Bacterial small subunit ribosomal RNA", at positions 338 to 795 of the family's 1533-position model. The record is from RNAcentral.
CCUACGGGAGGCAGCAGUAGGGAAUAUUGCUCAAUGGGGGAAACCCUGAAGCAGCAACGCCGCGUGGAGGAUGAAGGUUUUCGGAUUGUAAACUCCUUUUGUUAGAGAAGAUAAUGACGGUAUCUAACGAAUAAGCCCCGGCUAACUCCGUGCCAGCAGCCGCGGUCAUACGGAGGGUGCAAGCGUUACUCGGAAUCACUGGGCGUAAAGAGCGCGUAGGCGGGAUAGCAAGUCAGAUGUGAAAUCCUAUGGCUUAACCAUAGAACUGCAUUUGAAACUGUUAUUCUAGAGUAUGGGAGAGGUAGGUGGAAUUCUUGGUGUAGCGGUAAAAUCCGUAGAGAUCAAGAGGAAUACUCAUUGCGAAGGCGACCUGCUAGAACAUAACUGACGCUGAUGCGCGAAAGCGUGGGGAGCAAACAGGAUUAGAUACCCCAGUAGUC